AUAAGGCAGCCGCCUCGCUGACUAAUACUACUGAACCAUCGAUCAAAUAUAAAUAUUAGUGGUCAAGUUAGUUGCCAUCAAAAAUAUGAGCCUUUGAUUAUAUAUAUGAUCGUCGUACAGGCAGGAGAAUGACUGGCCGGCCAAUAUAUAGACCAUAAUAUAACUUUAAUUUUAUUUUUUAAUGAUAAUUCAAAAAGAAAAAGAAGAUAAACUUACAUCUUGAGGAUUCUGAUGAUAAUAAUUGUCCAUAUGAUCAAUUGCAUAUAUAGCAAGGCCCGGUUAGUUUCAACCUUCAGUUAAACCUUCUUUGAAAAACUAUGAGUGGAUCAUUCGUUUUAAAGACUGGGAAGAAGAAGAUGACGACGACGAUGAUAUAAGAUUAGCUGGCUGCUUUCGAUCAAAACCUUUUUUGGGUUCAUUUUUAGGUUUUGGAGAAGAUGAUGGUAAAGGAACAGAUUAAGGCUUCAAAAAAACUUAUGUCUUACUAGCUAGCUAAGGCAGCUAACAAUGGAAGAAAAAGAUAUAUGUUGAAGAUAUAUAAUAAAUAUUGAAGAUCGAUCUAGAUUCUAAAGACCGGAGUUGUUUAACAUGAUCUCCGAGUUGAAGGUGGUCUUGCUUCGAUGCUAGCUUCCAAAGAACACAUAUGGAAGGAAGCUGCAACGAUGAAGCUGAGGGUGUGUGAAGAUACCGGCCUCCAUCAUUUAAAGAUACAUAAAUAUUCAGACUUUUGGCAAUAUUACGAGCAUAGUACCCGUGCAAUACGGCAGCAGUGGUAGGGAAGGCGGUAUCUAGUGGUGACUGUGAUGGUACUAUUGGUGGUGAUGGCGGUGUCAAAUGGUGUAGGUUGAUGUAAUUAUGAUAGUGAAAAUUUUUAGAAG
Erigeron canadensis is the source of this 878-nucleotide long non-coding RNA. RefSeq lists it as uncharacterized. The record is from RefSeq and is a predicted model, not a curated record. NCBI's taxonomy places the organism in Eukaryota, Viridiplantae, Streptophyta, Magnoliopsida, Asterales, Asteraceae. The transcript is spliced from 3 exons.